Molecule: ribosomal RNA, 893 nt
Filed under: Helotiales sp.
Lineage: Eukaryota; Fungi; Ascomycota; Leotiomycetes; Helotiales
Description: partial large subunit ribosomal RNA
Rfam family: Eukaryotic large subunit ribosomal RNA
Source: RNAcentral
CGGAGGAAAAGAAACCAACAGGGAUUGCCUCAGUAACGGCGAGUGAAGCGGCAACAGCUCAAAUUUGAAAUCUGGCUCUUUCAGGGUCCGAGUUGUAAUUUGUAGAAGAUGCUUCGGGUGUGGCUCCGGUCUAAGUUCCUUGGAACAGGACGUCAUAGAGGGUGAGAAUCCCGUAUGUGACUGGUUGCCUUCGCCCAUGUGAAGCUCUUUCGACGAGUCGAGUUGUUUGGGAAUGCAGCUCAAAAUGGGUGGUAUAUUUCAUCUAAAGCUAAAUAUUGGCCAGAGACCGAUAGCGCACAAGUAGAGUGAUCGAAAGAUGAAAAGCACUUUGGAAAGAGAGUUAAACAGUACGUGAAAUUGUUGAAAGGGAAGCGCUUGCAACCAGACUUGCGCGUAGUUGAUCAUCCGGGGUUCUCCCCGGUGCACUCGAUUGCGCUCAGGCCAGCAUCGGUUUGGGUGGUUGGAUAAAGGCCUUGGGAAUGUAGCUUCUUUCGGGGAGUGUUAUAGCCCUCGGUGCAAUGCAGCCUACCCGGACCGAGGACCGCGCUUCGGCUAGGAUGCUGGCGUAAUGGUUGUAAGCGACCCGUCUUGAAACACGGACCAAGGAGUCUAACAUUUAUGCGAGUGUUUGGGUGUUAAACCCAUACGCGUAAUGAAAGUGAACGGAGGUGAGAACCCUUAAGGGUGCAUCAUCGACCGAUCCUGAUGUCUUCGGAUGGAUUUGAGUAAGAGCAUAACUGUUGGGACCCGAAAGAUGGUGAACUAUGCCUGAAUAGGGUGAAGCCAGAGGAAACUCUGGUGGAGGCUCGCAGCGGUUCUGACGUGCAAAUCGAUCGUCAAAUUUGGGUAUAGGGGCGAAGACUAAUCGAACCAUCUAGUAGCUGGUUCUGCGA